AUGAAGAACCUUAGCAUCAACAACUUUGCCUAUUUAAUGCCAAUCAAAAUUGGCACCCCAGCCAUAUGGAAUUUGGUGGCCAUUGACACUGGGUCCACACUCUCGUUUGUCCAGUGCCUCCCAUGCACAGUGAAUUGCCACAAGCAAGAUGUGGGCGCUGGCCAAUUAUUUGACCCCAGCAAAUCCAGCACAAUUGGGCGUGUUGGGUGCUCAAAUGUGGUCUGCCGUGCUAUCCAAGAGAGCCUGCCUGUUCCCACCAAAGCAUGCAUGGAGAGAGAGGACAGUUGCCUGUAUUCCAUGAGCUAUGGAAGAGAGUCUUCAUACUCUGUUGGCAAGAUAGUAACUGAUAGACUGACCCUUGGGCCCAAUGAUGAAGCAGUUAUCGCUGGGUUUGUUUUCGGCUGCAGCUUAGGCACCAAUUACAACAAGCUUGAAGCCGGAAUCAUGGGGUUUGGCGCAGAGGCCUUCUCCUUCUUCAUGCAAGUGUCCCACUUCGUUGGAUACGAGGCUUUCAGCUACUGUUUCUCAAGUGACAGGCAGAAGCAAGGGUAUUUGUCAAUUGGAAACUAUAGCCGCACCAGCUCUUCCUAUUCAACACCAAUGUUCGUGGCGACGCCCCGGCCGGUGUUUUCUAAACUGCCCAGAUCCAUGUACUCUUUGCAGCUGAAUUCAUUGUCCGUCAACGGAAUCACCCUGCACUCAGACCCCUACGAGAUGACCGUUGACAGUGGGACAGAGAUGACCUUGUUGCUGUCGGAUACGUUCGAUGAGCUAGACAAUGCAGUGACCCAAGCCGUGGAGCCUCUUGGGUAUAUGCGGACCCGUUCUACCAUCUGGAGCGACAAUCAUAUUUGCUUCGAGGACAAGGAUUUCACACCUUUCAAGAAUUGGUCCGCCCUGCCGGUGGUGGAGCUGUUAUUUGGAUCAGGCGCAAAGCUAAGGGUGCCGCCCCAAAGCGCCUUCUACAAUGACGGGGGUCACGGCCUGUGCAUGUACUUUGUGCGGGAUGCAUUUUUUGUCAAGGGCAUGCAGAUUCUGGGGAACACGGUAACGCAAUCGAUUGGGAUCACGUUCGACAUCCAAAGCGAACAAUUUGUGUUUCGGGAAGGAGAGUGCUGA
RNAcentral lists this ribosomal RNA (1119 nucleotides) under Triticum aestivum (bread wheat). RNAcentral's name for it is "partial small subunit ribosomal RNA". The record is from RNAcentral. Lineage: Eukaryota; Viridiplantae; Streptophyta; Magnoliopsida; Poales; Poaceae.